This 311-nucleotide unclassified non-coding RNA is filed under the name uncultured Hypoxylon. RNAcentral's name for it is "sequence contains ITS1". The stretch from base 1 to 105 matches the Rfam family "5.8S ribosomal RNA", at positions 50 to 154 of the family's 154-position model. The record is from RNAcentral. Lineage: Eukaryota; Fungi; Ascomycota; Sordariomycetes; Xylariales; Xylariaceae.
GAAAUGCGAUAAGUAAUGUGAAUUGCAGAAUUCAGUGAAUCAUCGAAUCUUUGAACGCACAUUGCGCCCAUUAGUAUUCUAGUGGGCAUGCCUAUUCGAGCGUCAUUUCAACCCUUAAGCCUCAGUUGCUUAGUAUUGGGACUCUACGACCUAUUAUAGCGUAGUUCCUUAAAGGUAGUGGCGGAGUUAUAGCACACUCUAAGCGUAGUAAUUCUCUCUCGCUUCUUGUAGUGGUUAUAGUUGCUAGCCAUAAAACACCCCCUAUUUUAAUGGUUGACCUCGGAUUAGGUAGGAAUACCCGCUGAACUUAA